UUGGCCUCAUUUUCUAGCUUAUCUGUGAGGGCAAGUAAGAUACAUAUGUCAAACGAAGGCUUUGCCAAUACAGAAGCCUGUAUUUUAUCUUUUUUACCAUGCCUCCAUCGAAAAUGCCACCCAUCGGUGAUCCCUAUCCAAAAGCUCCCACAUCUUUAUCAUGAGAGUAGAGGCCCAUAAAUUGAAAAUUUUGUGGCCAA
Molecule: long non-coding RNA, 200 nt
Filed under: Elaeis guineensis (African oil palm)
Lineage: Eukaryota; Viridiplantae; Streptophyta; Magnoliopsida; Arecales; Arecaceae
Description: long non-coding RNA (EGUI_LNC020532)
Source: RNAcentral